ACGCUGGCGGCGUGCCUAAUACAUGCAAGUCGAACGCACAGCGAAAGGUGCUUGCACCUUUCAAGUGAGUGGCGAACGGGUGAGUAACACGUGGACAACCUGCCUCAAGGCUGGGGAUAACAUUUGGAAACAGAUGCUAAUACCGAAUAAAACUUAGUGUCGCAUGACACAAAGUUAAAAGGCGCUUCGGCGUCACCUAGAGAUGGAUCCGCGGUGCAUUAGUUAGUUGGUGGGGUAAAGGCCUACCAAGACAAUGAUGCAUAGCCGAGUUGAGAGACUGAUCGGCCACAUUGGGACUGAGACACGGCCCAAACUCCUACGGGAGGCUGCAGUAGGGAGUCUUCCACAAUGGGCGAAAGCCUGAUGGAGCAACGCCGCGUGUGUGAUGAAGGCUUUCGGGUCGUAAAGCACUGUUGUAUGGGAAGAACAGCUAGAAUAGGAAAUGAUUUUAGUUUGACGGUACCAUACCAGAAAGGGACGGCUAAAUACGUGCCAGCAGCCGCGGUAAUACGUAUGUCCCGAGCGUUAUCCGGAUUUAUUGGGCGUAAAGCGAGCGCAGACGGUUUAUUAAGUCUGAUGUGAAAGCCCGGAGCUCAACUCCGGAAUGGCAUUGGAAACUGGUUAACUUGAGUGCAGUAGAGGUAAGUGGAACUCCAUGUGUAGCGGUGAAAUGCGUAGAUAUAUGGAAGAACACCAGUGGCGAAGGCGGCUUACUGGACUGCAACUGACGUUGAGGCUCGAAAGUGUGGGUAGCAAAC
Molecule: ribosomal RNA, 758 nt
Filed under: uncultured bacterium
Lineage: Bacteria
Description: bacterial SSU rRNA
Rfam family: Bacterial small subunit ribosomal RNA
Source: RNAcentral